CUUUCCAAGCUUACAGUAGCUUCUUUGUGGACCUAUUGUAAGCACACUAUUGUUAGCACUAUACAUCCAAGAUGAUGCAAUGAUUCAGAGGACAUGCGGCCAAACCUCUCCAUGAAAACUGGCGCAGUUUGUCACAAAAUUUCUGUGGAAGUGGUCACAUGGGCAAUUACCAGAAUUUCCUGUGUAGUCCAGUGAUGAGCUGAACAGAAAUGAAACAAAAAUGUACAGACAUGAUAGACACAGGUACAUGGCACUAGCACCUAAGAUAUGUCCAUGAACAAUGUCCAAAGUAGCUAGUAUCAUUAAGUGCCUGAUGGCACUCUCACAUAAUGCUCCACACCAAACUCACCUCACCACCCCUGUCCUCACAGUCCUCACACCCUAGCAAAUGACCGGUGGUACUAGUCGACAACGUAUCAGGCCAAAAGUGUAGUCUUAGCAAUAGUACUAGUCUCUUGUCAUCACACCAGGACAUUUAGGUGAGGUCUUGUAACUGACAACAACAAUAACAAGGUGUCUGAUUGAUUCUGACUCCAGUACACCACUGUUCUUCCAGCAAUUUCUUCUCCCUUAUUACAAAAACUGCAAGGAGGAAAAAAGUUGCAGAGAUGUUGAGAUUUUUCUGUCUGUUUUUUUUAUUUGUAUGCUUGUCUGGAUACUGGAUAGGCUUCAGUUGCAAGGCAGAGCAACCACUCUUGAGUGCCAGUUGGGCAUUGUGGGAUAUGUGGUAUGGUGCAAGUGAGUACCGAGUAUUGAGUAGAGUGUUGCUUAGGAUCUCCUCAAAGGAAAGGGAGCUCUACUUGCUUCAGCCUCACACCAGUACACCCACACACAGCAUUGCCUGCUGCUUCACAGCUCACACACGCGCAAACACACACACAGAAGAAACAAAGUUAAAAUUAGGUAAUAGUACAUUUUUGUAAUCUUCUCUUUGUGUUAAAUUACAUGAGUUGCUAAUGUUGAUGAAACACAUAGAUAAUAAUCUCUUUGUGGAGUUUGUUCAGUUUGCCUAUGAAGAACAAACCAGACAAAAACUGAAUUAUGAGCCUGGUUUCAGCAUGCAGUUUAUUCAACAAUAAUCCAGUUUGUCUCCCCAGAAUCUAAGCAUGUUGUCUGACAUGCCCGGAAGCUGCCUCGUGCAGGCAUUAUCGUUCCAACACAGCUCCUCCUACUUUACAAAAGCAUCGUGUCAUCAAAAAGGCCACCGGCAUAGCAUCUGCCUGCUUCCUGGAUGGAUCAUUGCUAAGUACCACGCUUUUGUCCUCUAAUAAAAACACUUUUUGCUACUGUGAUCUAAUCAAGUAAUCAUGCUUAGCAGAGGCUAACAGGUGUUGGGAUCAUGGUUGCCUCAGCCUCUCUGCUUGAAACCUUUAUUGGAGGAUAAGAGGGUGGCCAAGGCUGCUGUUGACAUGGAUGGGACCACCUGCUGACGAUGAUUUUGGUGAAGAUGAUUAAAAGGAAGGUGGCAACAUCAGAGAGGGAAAGCUGGGUGGAGGGAGGAGGCAGCAGGCAGACCAGAAAGAGCAGUGGGCACAUGCACCGCCUUGAAUACCAGAAGGCCUGCUUGCUUGUGGCAUGAGUGCUACCAUUGAUCACAGCUUCUUUUUUCCAUAUGUUUUCUUCCUGACUAGUAGCACUAGCACCAUUGAGAUAGAUCUUUAGUUGGUGUGGUGUGCCAUCAUCAUCCUCUUGGAGAAGAGAAGAAUGUAGUACCCCCUCCGUUGCUAAAUAUAAGUCUUUUUAGAGAUUU
Hordeum vulgare subsp. vulgare (domesticated barley) is the source of this 1750-nucleotide long non-coding RNA. RefSeq lists it as uncharacterized. The transcript is spliced from 3 exons. The record is from RefSeq and is a predicted model, not a curated record. NCBI's taxonomy places the organism in Eukaryota, Viridiplantae, Streptophyta, Magnoliopsida, Poales, Poaceae.